This 365-nucleotide transfer-messenger RNA is filed under the name Aerococcaceae. RNAcentral's name for it is "Atopobacter sp003664595 Standard tmRNA". It matches the Rfam family "transfer-messenger RNA". Rfam says of the family: Bacterial tmRNA, also known as 10Sa RNA or SsrA, is named for its dual tRNA and mRNA-like properties. Its role is to liberate the mRNA from a stalled ribosome. Lineage: Bacteria; Bacillati; Bacillota; Bacilli; Lactobacillales. RNAcentral also lists the same sequence under 1 other name. The record is from RNAcentral.
GGGGUCGUUACGGAUUCGACAGGUAUAAGUCGGUGAUUCGAUGCAAUUCGUUUUGACGAAAACGUAAAAUCGUUAACAGUUAAAUAUAACUGACAAAGAAAAUACAAACACUUUAGCAUUCGCUGCGUAAACAACGUAGUAGCUAAGAUCCGGCCAGCAUUGCCCAUGUGUUGUCACCGGGUCCUAUAUAAGUGGGCUACGCUUGAUCUAUCCGCCUGUUAGAUCAAGAAGAGACGACCAGGCUCGCUUGGAUCGAUGCGGGUUACCAGAGCUAUUUCCAAGCUAAACUAAUCUGGAAACUAUAAUUGUAGAUUCGGGUAUACCGUUAUAGUUGGACGCGGGUUCGACUCCCGCCGACUCCAUAU